CUUUUUUUCUCAGUUUACUGCCUUUUUAGGACUUUCCCCCAGUAAUUACAGCUCAUUCUGUACAUCUGACAAGAUUGCUCCUCGUAGGACAAUUUCCCAAUAUUUCCAGCUGGGACUGGUUGGUAUCCUCUUCCCAUAUGAUCCUUUUGUCCAACUGCUGUGGUGUGCAGAAAAAGUGAAAAUGUUCAGCCCAGGAAUUCAUAUAGUAUGCGACCUUACUACAGCAGCCAGUGUUAGCAGCUCUGCAAGAUUAAGCUGACCUCAGUCACAAAGAAAACCUUGCAGACAGCAAUACAAGCAAAUGUUUUCUAACUUCUUUGUACCUUUCCAAUAGAAUGAGGAAAAAUUAAUAAAAAGAUAAAUAUAAAUGGAACUGGUGCAUUGAAGGUGUAUUUCAUCCAGAACCUGAUACCCCAGUGAUCAAGAACUGUGAAUCUUCCAACUGAGGCAACUUGCCGGGUAAUUUCCAUCACCAGAGGUUUCAAGGUCAUGGAGUAGACAAGACUAAAUCACGCACCUCAAAGAGUGUUAAGAAACGAUUUCACAGAACAAGAGCAAUUUGCAUUGUUUUCUCACUGCUAUAAAGCAAGGAAACAUCAAUUUUCCAGUGCCUGCAUUGUACCUUUCCUGUGCCUCGUGCUGCAAAACUCAAGUAUCAGGAGACAAGUAAUGGCCUGGCAACUUUUCCACACUGCUUCGGUUGCACUAGGAACUUUGAGCUGUGUGACAAAAGGAAUUGGUGUCUUCUCUUUAAAUGCUAAUCCAUAAACUGGGCAUCACACCAGCAAAAGGCAAUGUCUGAACACUCCAACUGAUGCUGCAUAGCUCUGCAAAGUUGGCCCAGUUCUUGACUCAUGCAAUUAUGGAUAUGUUGAUGGUUGCAGGAUAGCAGAACUUGAAUGGAGACUGUGCUUUCAUGAUACUCCUCUGGCAAUAUCCAUUACUGCCUGCGGCCUACUCUGUGCUCCAUUUGCUGCUGCAGUGUACAGCAUGACCUCACAGACAGUUGUACAGGCCACCUGAGGAGAUAAGGCACCAUUUCAUGGAGCUAAAAUCAACCAUCUGUGAAGUAGGCAGAAGAACUCCUUAACUCAAUGUUGAUGCCAGCACAUUCACAUAAUGAAAACACAGUAUUUCUGUUGUAACAUCAUAGUAGUAUGUGUUAGGCCAGUAGGAUGUUCCAGGAAGCUGUGUAAAGGCUCAUGAACACCAUUGGGGUCUUCUGAGCCUGUAUGUGACACUGCUUCUCUUCAGAAGCCCAGUCACAGCAAGAUGUGAUACUUGAUGCUGAAUCACAGAUGACAGGAAACCUGCAUGUGGAAGUUUGCAUGUAUCUGGAUGCAUACCUGUAAUCAACCUCAUGAAUAGAAGCUCGAUUUUUGCUUCACAGUUACUUUCAAAUUCUGUAGAAUUUACUCUUGCUUCAUACUAAUUUAGAGACCAGUCACUAGAGGCCAAUAUGUUGGAGGCCCUGUCCCUGCUUUUGAUCAACGUGAGGGUGUGAUACUAACAAGAAAAAGAUUCUGCCGCUUAAAGUAAUUGUGCUGUGCAAACUAGGAAGGGCUCCAUGCAUUGCUCAUGCUGCCAGUAUUUUAAUGAAAAUACUGGUAAACAAGUAAAUAAAAAACUAAUAUUCCUGUUGAA
Molecule: long non-coding RNA, 1644 nt
Organism: Pseudopipra pipra
Lineage: Eukaryota; Metazoa; Chordata; Aves; Passeriformes; Pipridae
Exons: 2
Source: RefSeq, a predicted model, not a curated record